AGGCGCGUAGCUCAGUUGGUUAGAGCACUACCUUGACAUGGUAGGGGUCGGUGAUUCGAAUUCACUCGUGCCUACCA
RNAcentral lists this transfer RNA (77 nucleotides) under Bathymodiolus japonicus methanotrophic gill symbiont. Its description in RNAcentral is "tRNA-Val". It matches the Rfam family "tRNA". Rfam says of the family: Transfer RNA (tRNA) molecules are approximately 80 nucleotides in length. Their secondary structure includes four short double-helical elements and three loops (D, anti-codon, and T loops). Lineage: Bacteria; Pseudomonadati; Pseudomonadota; Gammaproteobacteria. RNAcentral also lists the same sequence under 6 other names. The record is from RNAcentral.